Molecule: non-coding RNA, 45 nt
Organism: Schistosoma curassoni
Lineage: Eukaryota; Metazoa; Platyhelminthes; Trematoda; Strigeidida; Schistosomatidae
Source: Rfam
AUCCAGCUGACGCGUCUCAACUAGGAUGAAACGCGCGUCCCGGAU